RNAcentral lists this unclassified non-coding RNA (207 nucleotides) under uncultured Tricholoma. Its description in RNAcentral is "sequence contains ITS2". The record is from RNAcentral. Lineage: Eukaryota; Fungi; Basidiomycota; Agaricomycetes; Agaricales; Tricholomataceae.
AAUUCUCAACCUUUUCAACCUUUUUUGGUGGAUCAGGAAUUGGAUGUGGGAGCUUGCAGGCUUGUUCAGAAGUCGGCUCUCCUUAAAUGUAUUAGUGGGACCUUUGUUAAGCCUAGCUUUGGUGUGAUAAUUAUCUAUGCCAUUUGCUCAAGCAGUAUACAAUGAGGUCUUGCUUCUAAUUGUCUCUCUUAGAGACACCUUCUGAUA